RNAcentral lists this ribosomal RNA (493 nucleotides) under uncultured bacterium. RNAcentral describes it as "partial 16S ribosomal RNA". It matches the Rfam family "Bacterial small subunit ribosomal RNA", at positions 29 to 507 of the family's 1533-position model. The record is from RNAcentral.
ACGCACGCUGGCGGCGUGCUUAACACCUGCCAGUCGAACGGUGAAGCGCCUUCCUUUUUGGUGGGUGUGGAUGAGUGGCGAACGGGUGAGUAACACGUGAGUAACCUGCCCCCUUCUUCUGGAUAACCGCAUGAAAGUGUGGCUAAUACGGGAUAUUCUGGGUCUGUCGCAUGAUGGGUCUGGGAAAGAUAUUGUUUCGGUGGGGGAUGGGCUCGCGGCCUAUCAGCUUGUUGGUGGGGUGAUGGCCUACCAAGGCGGUGACGGGUAGCCGGCCUGAGAGGGUGGACGGUCACACUGGGACUGAGACACGGCCCAGACUCCUACGGGAGGCAGCAGUGGGGAAUAUUGCACAAUGGGCGCAAGCCUGAUGCAGCGACGCCGCGUGAGGGAUGGAGGCCUUCGGGUUGUGAACCUCUUUCGCCAGUGAAGCAGGCCUGCCUCGUUUGUGGGUGGGUUGACGGUAGCUGGAGAAGAAGCGCCGGCUAACUACGUG